CUCUGUUGGCAUUUGCUCUGUACACACCCCCUCUAUGUUGUACAACAUUGGUCUCUCCUUCUCUACGGCGAGGUGCCCCAGAGAAGGGUUUCUUCGAUGAAGACGAGGACCCCACAUCAUGAAUCCUUCCAGCUUUGAUUAAGCUCUCUGUCCUUUCGCCACAGAUGACGACGUCAGAAAAACUUCCAAAUGGGCAACUUCCCAUCCGGUCCAUAUAUACACCUUGCAGAGUGCUGAUAAACAUGUCAGUCAACUCCCUUUCCAGCAUAGGGGGUUG
RNAcentral lists this long non-coding RNA (277 nucleotides) under Lathyrus oleraceus (garden pea). Its description in RNAcentral is "Pisum sativum (pea) long non-coding RNA (PSAT_LNC036027)". Lineage: Eukaryota; Viridiplantae; Streptophyta; Magnoliopsida; Fabales; Fabaceae. The record is from RNAcentral.